Molecule: transfer RNA, 94 nt
Filed under: Bombardia bombarda
Lineage: Eukaryota; Fungi; Ascomycota; Sordariomycetes; Sordariales; Lasiosphaeriaceae
Description: tRNA-Ile
Source: RNAcentral
GCCCGAUUAGCUCAGCUGGUUAGAGCGUCGUACUAAUAGAGUAUCACUCUAUCAAGUCAUGCGAAGGUCAACAGUUCAAUCCUGUUAUUGGGCA